Molecule: non-coding RNA, 148 nt
Filed under: Gorilla gorilla gorilla (western lowland gorilla)
Lineage: Eukaryota; Metazoa; Chordata; Mammalia; Primates; Hominidae
Source: Rfam by way of RNAcentral
GCCGGGUGGAGUGGUGGGCACCUGUAAUCCCACCUACUCGGGAGGCUGAGGCAGGAGAAUUGCUUGAACCCAGGAGGCAGAGGUUGCAGUGAGCAGAGAUCAUGCCACUGCAGUCUAGCCUGGGUGACAGAGCAAGACUCCAUCUCAA